Molecule: ribosomal RNA, 457 nt
Filed under: uncultured bacterium
Lineage: Bacteria
Description: bacterial SSU rRNA
Rfam family: Bacterial small subunit ribosomal RNA
Source: RNAcentral
UGCAGUCGACGGUAACAGCUCUUCGGAGGCUGACGAGUGGCGAACGGGUGAGUAAUACAUCGGAACGUGCCCGAUCGUGGGGGAUAACGGAGCGAAAGCUUUGCUAAUACCGCAUACGAUCUACGGAUGAAAGCAGGGGACCCUCGGGCCUUGCGCGAACGGAGCGGCCGAUGGCAGAUUAGGUAGUUGGUGGGAUAAAAGCUUACCAAGCCGACGAUCUGUAGCUGGUCUGAGAGGACGACCAGCCACACUGGGACUGAGACACGGCCCAGACUCCUACGGGAGGCAGCAGUGGGGAAUUUUGGACAAUGGGCGAAAGCCUGAUCCAGCAAUGCCGCGUGCAGGAUGAAGGCCUUCGGGUUGUAAACUGCUUUUGUACGGAACGAAAAGUCUCGGGAUAAUACCCUGGGACCAUGACGGUACCGUAAGAAUAAGCACCGGCUAACUACGUGCCAGC